GGAAUCUUGGACAAUGGGGGCAACCCUGAUCCAGCGACGCCGCGUGGGUGAUGAAGGCCUUCGGGUUGUAAAGCCCUUUUCUCGGGGAAGCUGAUGACGGUACCCGAGGAAUAAGCACCGGCUAACUCCGUGCCAGCAGCCGCGGUAAGACGGAGGGUGCUAGCGUUGUUCGGAAUUACUGGGCUGAAAGGGCGCGUAGGCGGCCCGACCAGUCGGAUGUGAAAGCCCGGGGCUCAACCCCGGAACGGCAUUCGAAACUGUCGGGCUCGAGGACGGAAGAGGAGAGUGGAAUACCCAGUGUAGAGGUGAAAUUCGUAGAUAUUGGGUGGAACACCGGUGGCGAAAGCGGCUCUCUGGUCCGGUUCUGACGCUGAGGCGCGAAAGCGUGGGGAGCAAAC
Molecule: ribosomal RNA, 398 nt
Filed under: uncultured bacterium
Lineage: Bacteria
Description: bacterial SSU rRNA
Rfam family: Bacterial small subunit ribosomal RNA
Source: RNAcentral